This is an RNA transcript of Mus pahari (shrew mouse), 3106 nucleotides long. It is a transcript of the gene named leucine rich repeat transmembrane neuronal 1, with no coding region annotated. The record is from RefSeq and is a predicted model, not a curated record. Lineage: Eukaryota; Metazoa; Chordata; Mammalia; Rodentia; Muridae. The transcript is spliced from 3 exons.
GACACUCAGUGAGCAGUCGGUGCCGGUGCAGGCUCGCGCACACUCCUCGGAGGAGGGAAGGAGCCGGGCGCUGCUCUGCGCUCCGCAAGGCAUGAGCCGGCCAGGUUUCCGCAGCUGCCGGGGACACGAAUGGCAGGCGUUCUCCAACCAGGACUCCAAGGUGGCUUCGAUUCGCGUUGGUCACUGCCGAUGACAUUCUCCAGACUGUCAAAUCCUGGGGAGUCUCGAGCCCCGAGUUUGGAGUUGAUUUUUUACCUCAACCCCCCAACCACGUCACAGUCUCAACUGCAGAGGGAAAAAAAGGGGGACCGAGGCAGGAAGGCGAGAAGCCCAGGCUCCCGGCACGUAGUUGGGAAACUUGCGGGUCCUAGAAGUCGCCUCCCCGCCUCGCCGACCGCCCCUGCAGCCCCGGAGCGCAGCAGCAAAGUGAGACAUUGUGCGUCUGCCAGAUCCUCGGGCCGCGGAGCAGGGCUGCCUCGGGAAACACAGAGGGGUCUUCUCUCACCCUGCAUAUAAUUAGCCUACACACAAAGGGAGCAGCUGAAUGGAGGUUGUCACUCGCUGGAAAAGGAUUUCUGACCCAGCGCUUCCAAUGGACAUUCUCCAGUCUCUCUGGAAAGAUUCUCGCUAAUGGAUUUCCUGCUACUCGGCCUCUGUCUACACUGGCUGCUGAGGAGGCCCUCGGGGGUGGUCUUGUGUCUGCUGGGGGCCUGCUUUCAGAUGCUGCCCGCCGCCCCCAGCGGAUGCCCGGGGCAGUGUCGGUGCGAGGGGCGGCUGCUGUACUGCGAGGCGCUCAACCUAACCGAGGCGCCCCACAACCUGUCCGGCCUGCUGGGCUUGUCUUUGCGCUACAACAGCCUCUCGGAGCUGCGCGCCGGCCAGUUCACAGGGUUAAUGCAGCUCACGUGGCUGUAUUUGGAUCACAAUCACAUCUGCUCGGUGCAGGGGGACGCCUUUCAGAAACUGCGCCGAGUUAAGGAACUCACGCUGAGUUCCAACCAGAUCACUGAACUGGCCAACACCACCUUCCGGCCCAUGCCCAACCUGCGCAGCGUGGACCUGUCCUAUAACAAGCUGCAGGCGCUAGCUCCGGAUCUCUUCCACGGGCUGCGGAAGCUCACCACCUUGCACAUGCGGGCCAAUGCCAUCCAAUUCGUGCCGGUGCGCAUCUUUCAGGACUGCCGCAGCCUCAAGUUUCUCGACAUUGGAUACAAUCAGCUCAAGAGUCUAGCGCGCAACUCUUUCGCCGGCUUGUUCAAGCUCACAGAGCUACACCUGGAGCAUAACGACUUGAUCAAGGUGAACUUCGCCCAUUUCCCGCGCCUCAUCUCCCUGCACUCGCUCUGCCUGAGGCGGAAUAAGGUUGCCAUUGUGGUCAGCUCUCUCGACUGGGUUUGGAAUUUGGAGAAAAUGGACUUGUCUGGGAACGAGAUCGAAUACAUGGAGCCCCAUGUGUUCGAGACCGUGCCCUACCUGCAGACCCUGCAGCUGGACUCCAACCGCCUCACCUACAUUGAGCCCCGUAUCCUCAACUCCUGGAAGUCCCUUACGAGCAUCACUCUGGCGGGGAACCUGUGGGACUGCGGGCGCAACGUGUGUGCUCUAGCUUCCUGGCUAAGCAACUUCCAGGGACGUUACGAUGCUAACUUGCAGUGCGCCAGCCCUGAGUACGCACAGGGCGAGGACGUCUUGGAUGCAGUGUAUGCUUUCCACCUGUGCGAGGAUGGGGCCGAGCCCACCAGCGGCCACCUCCUGUCGGCGGCCGUCACUAACCGCAGUGACCUAACGCCCCCAGAGAGCUCAGCCACGACUCUGGUGGACGGUGGGGAGGGGCACGAUGGCACGCUUGAGCCCAUCACUGUGGCUCUUCCCGGCGGCGAGCACGCAGAGAACGCUGUGCAAAUCCACAAAGUGGUCACCGGCACGAUGGCCCUCAUCUUCUCCUUCCUCAUCGUGGUCCUCGUACUCUACGUAUCCUGGAAGUGUUUCCCAGCCAGCCUAAGGCAGCUCAGACAGUGCUUUGUCACGCAGCGCAGGAAGCAGAAGCAGAAACAGACCAUGCAUCAGAUGGCUGCUAUGUCUGCCCAGGAAUACUAUGUUGAUUACAAACCCAACCACAUCGAGGGGGCCCUGGUGAUCAUCAACGAGUACGGCUCUUGUACCUGUCACCAGCAACCUGCGAGGGAAUGCGAGGUGUGAUUGUCCCAGAGGCUCCCAACCCAUGCGCUACCAAAUACGCCUGGGCAGCCAGGCGGGCCAGCGGGCGCCAGGACUGGUCUCCUCUGAGCUCUGAUUUGUUGACUGAAACUGUAAGGGGAUCUCUCCCAGAGACUUGACAUUUUAGCUUUAUGUGUCUUAAAAAACAAACAAACAAACAAACAAAAUCCCGAAAUAAAACACAACAAAAAACCCCACCCCAAUAAUCUUCAGGAGAGUCUGUCUUAAAUUUCAUAUGAGAACUUCUUCCUCCCUUUGAAGAUCUGUCCAUAUUCAGGAAUCUGAGAGUGUUAAAAAAAGAUUCCAUCUCCAUCCAUCUGCUGCACGCUUCCCCUCAAGCAGCAUAUACCUGUUUCAUCUCCCCCGAGCUUAGAGACUUCUGGAGGAAGAUGGGAGCAAAAUCUCCUUUGGCUCAGUGGUAACCACGUCUUGCCAUCAGAAGUGCAUGUGUUGCUUUUGUGAACCUCCAAGUGCUGACAACCAUGGUGGAAUUGUAACUGCCACCUUGUGUGACUGUAUUUCUGGACUCCAUAGCCAAGCAGUUCUGAUCUCCAGCAAAAGCCAGCCACACAUACCAAAGCAAGCUGCCCACAUGUUUAUACAGAACUGCUAACCCACGGGAACUGCGAUGAAAAGAGAUAAGAGAGUCGGAAGACUUGCUUUUGUUUUGAUUUUCUACUCAAAUGAGCUCUUUGAAGAAAAAAAAUAAGAACAAUAAAGAAGAAAAGGAAGAAAAAGAAAAGAAAAGAAAAAGAAUGAAAGAAAGAAAAAGAAUCAUUCUCCAAGUUGGUGCCCUGCCAAGCUUCCUCCCCUUUCUUCCUUGUCCAAGCACUCCACCGUCUGUGCAGACUGUAUAACAGCAAGUUCUGGAAACAGGCUGAGGAAUCUG